RNAcentral lists this non-coding RNA (28 nucleotides) under Mus musculus (house mouse). The record is from RNAcentral. Lineage: Eukaryota; Metazoa; Chordata; Mammalia; Rodentia; Muridae.
UGAUCUUUAACUGAAGUGCAGCAUACAA